RNAcentral lists this long non-coding RNA (1011 nucleotides) under Dasypus novemcinctus (nine-banded armadillo). RNAcentral's name for it is "lncRNA (ENSDNOG00000051861.1)". Lineage: Eukaryota; Metazoa; Chordata; Mammalia; Cingulata; Dasypodidae. The record is from RNAcentral.
GGCGCGCGCAUGCGCGGACGGGCGGGCGACCGCGCAGCAGUCGGCGCCGCGUCCUCGCCUCGGUUUCCCUCUCUCCAGAAGCGGGGCCCGAAGGCCGCCGAGCCGUGCGCUCCUCCCCGAGGGGCGGGGAGGCGGCCACUCCGGAGGCCCCGGGUUUCCCGGGGCGCGGUGCCGGGGUCCCCUGGCCCCCCAGGGGCGAAAGCGGAGAAAGGCCGCCCGGCGCGGGGGCGCCUGUGCGCUCCGGGAGGAGACGGAGCAGCCCCCGGUCCCGGGCGCUCCCGGGCGCUCCCGGCGCGUCAGCCCCUGCAUGGAAGGGGCCGGGCACCUGCUCUUCCGCCCGCCUCCUGGAACCCGCGGCGCCCUCGGCCUUCAGCCCCGCGGCCCCGCCUCCGCCCGCCUCGUCCCCCCUGCCGGGCGCUGAGCGCAGGUCGAGGCUGCGGAGGGUGCUGGUUUCCUCGGCUCUCCCUCCCUCUCGGCCAGACGCCCGGUCCUGAAAAUGAUUCAGUGGGUGGCGACCAGCGUUGUAGAAAAAGGCAGCAGGGGGACACGGGAACGGACCGCGUGCCACGGAGUGACAGGUCCCUGUGGAGUGUAUUUCUUGCAGCUGAAAUCUUCAGGUUGCUCUGUGCCGGCUGAGCCCUGGAGCCAGCAGCGUUGCGGUCAGCUCCUACCCUCCAGUCCUCCAGGCCUGCCCUGGACAGCCAACAACCACGGUGACAGACCCCUCCCAUCCCCAGAACAAGGAGCAUCUUCAGCUUCCUCCCCUGCCCCACAGGGGCUCCAGCCCUUCCCAGCCUGACGCAGUCAGGGGGAUGUCACCCCAAAUCUCUCAAGGUUGAGGAAUUAAUAGAAAUAAGGGGGGAGGGAGUAUAACCUCGGACCAAAGUAUAUUAUUUUAUUUUGUGUUAAUGGAGUAACUUGUAAUAUUGGUAUUUAAAAAACAAAAAUAAAAUAGAAAGUACGCUGGUGGAACAAGCCGCUCUCCUCAGCCAGGAUCGGGCGCUGGCCAGG